CAUACCGUAACUUCGGGAGAAGGUAUUCCUUUGGUUGUUAGUGGACUUGCUCCACGAAGCAAUUAGAGGAGGCACGAAAUCGGGGGCUGCGACUGUUUACCAAAAACACAGGACUCUGCGAACACGAAAGUGGAUGUAUAGGGUCUGACGCUUGCCCGGUGCCGGAAGGUUAAUUGAUGGGGUCAGCCGCAAGGCGAAGCUCCUGAUCGAAGCCCCGGUAAACGGCGGCCGUAACAAUAACGGUCCUAAGGUAGCGAAAUUCCUUGUCGGGUAAGUUCCGACCUGCACGAAAAGCGUAACGCUGGCCCCACUGUCUCGACCCGAGACUCAGUGAAGUUGAAAUCGCUGUGAAGAUGCGGCGUAGCUGCGGAAAGACGGAAAGACCCCGUGAACCUUUACUACAGCUUUACACUGAACUUUGAACUUGUUUGUGUAGGAUAGGUGGGAGCCUAUGAAGCAGGGGCGCUAGCUCUUGUGGAGGCAACCUUGAAAUACCACCCUGACAAUUUCAGAGUUCUAACCUCGGCCCGUUAUCCGGGCUGGGAACAAUGUAUGGUGGGUAGUUUGACUGGGGCGGUCUCCUCCCAAAGAGUAACGGAGGAGUGCAACGGUACGCUCAGCGCGGUCGGUCAUCGCGCACAGAGUGCAAUGGCACAAGCGUGCUUAACUGUGAGACGUACAUGUCGAGCAGGUGCGAAAGCAGGUCAUAGUGAUCCGGUGGUUCUGUAUGGAAGGGCCAUCGCUCAACGGAUAAAAGGUACUCCGGGGAUAACAGGCUUAUUCCUCCCAAGAGUCCACAUCGACGGAGGAGUUUGGCACCUCGAUGUCGGCUCAUCACAUCCUGGGGCUGUAGCAGGUCCCAAGGGUUCGGCUGUUCGCCGAUUAAAGUGGUACGCGAGCUGGGUUCAAAACGUCGUGAGACAGUUUGGUCCCUAUCUUCCGUAGCCGUUGGAGAUUUGAGGGUGAGCUGUCCUUAGUACGAGAGGACCGGGAUGGACGUACCUCUGGUGUUCCGGUUGUCACUACAGUGGCACUGCCGGGUAGCUAUGUACGGACGGGAUAACCGCUGAAAGCAUCUAAGCGGGAAGCCCCCCCCAAGAUUAGAUCUCCCUGGGAACUUGAUUCCCCUAAAGGGCCGUCGAAGACUACGACGUUGAUAGGCUGGGUGUGUACAGGCAGUAAUGCCUUUAGCUAACCAGUACUAAUUGCCCGUGAGACUUGACC
RNAcentral lists this ribosomal RNA (1224 nucleotides) under metagenome. RNAcentral describes it as "bacterial LSU rRNA". It matches the Rfam family "Bacterial large subunit ribosomal RNA", at positions 1724 to 2925 of the family's 2925-position model. The record is from RNAcentral.